This 403-nucleotide ribosomal RNA is filed under the name Verrucomicrobiota bacterium. Its description in RNAcentral is "Verrucomicrobia bacterium partial 16S ribosomal RNA". It matches the Rfam family "Bacterial small subunit ribosomal RNA", at positions 355 to 776 of the family's 1533-position model. The record is from RNAcentral. Lineage: Bacteria; Pseudomonadati; Verrucomicrobiota.
UGGGGAAUAUUGCACAAUGGGGGAAACCCUGAUGCAGCGACGCCGCGUGAGCGAAGAAGGUUUUCGAAUCGUAAAGCUCUGUCCUAUGAGAAGAUAAUGACGGUAUCAUAGGAGGAAGCCCCGGCUAAAUACGUGCCAGCAGCCGCGGUAAUACGGAUGGGGCGAGCGUUGUCCGGAAUUAUUGGGCGUAAAGGGUACGUAGGCGGUCUAUUAAGUCAGGUGUGAAAGCGUGAGGCUUAACCUCAUUAAGCACUUGAAACUGAGAGACUUGAGUGAAGGAGAGGAAAGUGGAAUUCCUAGUGUAGCGGUGAAAUGCGUAGAUAUUAGGAGGAAUACCGGUGGCGAAGGCGACUUUCUGGACUUUGACUGACGCUCAGGUACGAAAGCGUGGGGAGCAAACAGG